GCGGAUAUGGUCGAAUGGUAAAAUUUCUCUUUGCCAAGGAGAAGAUGCGGGUUCGAUUCCCGCUAU
Molecule: transfer RNA, 66 nt
Filed under: Dracocephalum moldavica
Lineage: Eukaryota; Viridiplantae; Streptophyta; Magnoliopsida; Lamiales; Lamiaceae
Description: tRNA-Gly
Rfam family: tRNA
About the family: Transfer RNA (tRNA) molecules are approximately 80 nucleotides in length. Their secondary structure includes four short double-helical elements and three loops (D, anti-codon, and T loops).
Source: RNAcentral